RNAcentral lists this ribosomal RNA (118 nucleotides) under Pteropus alecto (black flying fox). Lineage: Eukaryota; Metazoa; Chordata; Mammalia; Chiroptera; Pteropodidae. The record is from RNAcentral.
AUCUAUAGCCAUGCCACCCUGAACACGCCGAUCUCAUCUGAUCUUGGAAGCUGCGCAGGGUCAGACCUGGUUAGUACUUGGAUAGGAGAACAUCUAGGAAUACCAGGUGCUGUAGGCG